AGCUCCAAUAGCGUAUAUUAAAGUUGUUGCAGUUAAAAAGCUCGUAGUUGGAUUUCGGGAUGGGCCAGUUGGUCGGCCGCAAGGUCUGUUACUGACUGGUUUGUUCUUCUUCGCAAAGACUGCGUGUGCUCUUUACUGAGUGUGCGUAGGAUUUACGACGUUUACUUUGAAAAAAUUAGAGUGUUCAAAGCAGGCUAUCGCUUGAAUACAUGAGCAUGGAAUAAUGGAACAGGACUACGGUCACUGCACUUUUCCGUUGGUUUCGGAGGGCCGAAGUAAUGAUUAAGAGGGACAGUUGGGGGCAUCCGUAUUUCGCAGUCAGAGGUGAAAUUCUUGGAUCUGCGAAAGACGAACGAGUGCGAAAGCAUUUGCCAAGAGUGUUUUCAUUAAUCAAGAACGA
This 400-nucleotide ribosomal RNA is filed under the name phytoplankton environmental sample. RNAcentral's name for it is "partial small subunit ribosomal RNA". It matches the Rfam family "Eukaryotic small subunit ribosomal RNA", at positions 587 to 986 of the family's 1831-position model. The record is from RNAcentral.